This 96-nucleotide ribosomal RNA is filed under the name Pleurotus tuber-regium. Its description in RNAcentral is "partial 5.8S ribosomal RNA". It matches the Rfam family "5.8S ribosomal RNA", at positions 59 to 154 of the family's 154-position model. From Rfam's summary of the family: 5.8S ribosomal RNA (5.8S rRNA) is a component of the large subunit of the eukaryotic ribosome. It is transcribed by RNA polymerase I as part of the 45S precursor that also contains 18S and 28S rRNA. Functionally, it is thought that 5.8S rRNA may be involved in ribosome translocation. The record is from RNAcentral. Lineage: Eukaryota; Fungi; Basidiomycota; Agaricomycetes; Agaricales; Pleurotaceae.
UAAGUAAUGUGAAUUGCAGAAUUCAGUGAAUCAUCGAAUCUUUGAACGCACCUUGCGCCCCUUGGUAUUCCGAGGGGCAUGCCUGUUUGAGUGUCA